RNAcentral lists this transfer RNA (77 nucleotides) under Microcoleus vaginatus WJT46-NPBG5. RNAcentral's name for it is "tRNA-Ala". It matches the Rfam family "tRNA". From Rfam's summary of the family: Transfer RNA (tRNA) molecules are approximately 80 nucleotides in length. Their secondary structure includes four short double-helical elements and three loops (D, anti-codon, and T loops). Further hydrogen bonds mediate the characteristic L-shaped molecular structure. tRNAs have two regions of fundamental functional importance: the anti-codon, which is responsible for specific mRNA codon recognition, and the 3' end, to which the tRNAs corresponding amino acid is attached (by aminoacyl-tRNA synthetases). tRNAs cope with the degeneracy of the genetic code in two manners: having more than one tRNA (with a specific anti-codon) for a particular amino acid; and 'wobble' base-pairing, i.e. permitting non-standard base-pairing at the 3rd anti-codon position. The record is from RNAcentral. Lineage: Bacteria; Bacillati; Cyanobacteriota; Cyanophyceae; Oscillatoriales; Microcoleaceae.
GGGUCUGUAGCUCAAUUGGUAGAGCGCCCGGAUCGCAACCGGGAGGUUGUCGGUUCAAAGCCGACCAGUAUCCACCA